This 253-nucleotide ribosomal RNA is filed under the name uncultured bacterium. RNAcentral describes it as "partial 16S ribosomal RNA". It matches the Rfam family "Bacterial small subunit ribosomal RNA", at positions 524 to 776 of the family's 1533-position model. The record is from RNAcentral.
UACAGAGGUCCCAAGCGUUGUUCGGAUUCACUGGGCGUAAAGGGUGCGUAGGUGGUGAGGUAAGUCGGAUGUGAAAUCUCCAGGCUCAACCUGGAAAUGGCAUUGGAAACUACCUUGCUAGAGGGUUUGAGGGGGGACUGGAAUACUUGGUGUAGCAGUGAAAUGCGUAGAUAUCAAGUGGAACACCAGUGGCGAAGGCGAGUCCCUGGAAGAUACCUGACACUGAGGCACGAAAGCUAGGGGAGCAAACAGG